CUCCUAAGCAGUUGUCACACACAAAUGCUUUUAAAAGAAAUAAAUAGAUAUAGAUAGGUGUAAGAAGAUAUGGUAUGAGUGCCAAUGAGACAACAUUCCAUCAAAGUCACAAUUUGUAAAAGUAAACAAUUACAGAUUAAAGGUAAAGGUUUCGACACAGAGACCUGGCUAACACUGAACAGCAAGCUAUAAAGACAUUCAAACUUGGAAACCUAAUUAUAAAAAACCAGAAUCACUACUAAACCACUUCAACAAACGACAACCAACCAACUAACAUCAGGUUCCUGAUUUGGAAAAUAGAGUUUAAAAAAACAUGACACGACCCUCCACUUCUUCCUAUGGUGUAUAUAAAAAAGAAGAUGUGUUAUGAUGGCCAUAAAUG
RNAcentral lists this long non-coding RNA (382 nucleotides) under Mytilus galloprovincialis (Mediterranean mussel). Lineage: Eukaryota; Metazoa; Mollusca; Bivalvia; Mytilida; Mytilidae. The record is from RNAcentral.